UCGACACACGGAAUUUUAGUCUCUUGUUUCCUCAUUGUCUCAAACGUGUCAUCCUGAUCUGCGAGGCUGGUUAGCCAUGGUUGUGUUGUGAUAACUUCUCUGUUGCUGUGGUAACCUGUUGAAAUGCCAUCUAACUAUGAUAGGACAUUUCCCCCCCCCCCAUGAUGGGGGCUAGCCUACAUGCUGUCUGGAGUCAGGCCAGCUGCCAAGUCCCUGUUUCACUAUUCAUCUAGCCAGGGAGUGUGAAUGUUUUAUGUAUCCUGUAUUGAGAGAUGCUCAUGACUGGAAAACUUACUGUGAGAUUUACACGACAUCAAGCAGUCAGACUCGUCUGCGAGUUGCCCUACCCCCACCCCCACUAAACUGUUAUGGAAGUGACUCAUUGCUUUCAUACCUGAGAGAUACAGAGAAAGCGUCAGAAGCUUCAGUGAUCUCUCAUGGGGAAAUCUCACCUAUACCCAUGCCUAAAAAUGUUUGCCUCAUCCUGACACCCAACCCCAACCCCAACUUGAGUUCCCUCUCCAGGAAAGCUUCCUCUCUUGGUGCUCCUGUUUCCUGCAUGCAGCCACCUGCUUGAAGUCUCCACAUGGUUGCUGUACCUGAUCUUAAAACACCAUCUCUGUUAACAGAACUCUGGAUGUCCCCUCAAAUCAUUGACCACAUAGGCCAGAAUCUAGACGCCUCCUGUAUCUCUUUUCUCCUGUUUCUGCCCCAUUCCCUUUGGUCCAUCCACUAGCCAGUUCUUUUGCUAAUGCUUUUCUUUUGUUUAUUUAAUUGUGACAAAAUCUCAUGUAUCCCAGUGUGCCCUCAAACUUCCUAUUGUGGCUGAUGGAUUCCCCCAUCACACACACACCUUCCAGGUACUGAGAUUACAGAUGUAUGCCAACACAUGUAGCAAUUCUGGUGAUUCUGCUUCCAGAAUCUAUUUUCUGGUUCAUUCUCUAUAUAGAAGACUUCUUAAAACUGAAGUUGGACCAGAACACUCACCUUGCCAAAACUCAUCGUUGGAUUCCUGGUGCAGUUAGAAUAAUGCUUGCAUUCUGUGUAGAGACCUGCAAGGUCCUUGAACAACUCUGGGACCCUGUCCUGUGCUUCCUUGCGCUUACUCUCCUCCUCAGUGGCUCUCCCUUGUUCUCGGCUACACUAUCCCACCUCUCUCUCACCCCCUUUACUAUACUGGGAAUAGAUUCCAGGGCCUCAUGCCUGCUAGGCAAACAGCCUUAGCCCUGAACUAUAUUCUAGUGGGAGAGUUCUAAUGGCUUUCAUUUGUUUGAAGUACAUUUGCUUGCUUGUGGGCUUCUCUGCAGUGAGCAUCAUCCUCCCCCUUGGAAUAUAUCCUUCCUGUGUCUGUCCGAGCCACUCCCCGGGAGUUUCUUUGCUGCCCACUGUGAUAGACCAGGUGUAGAUUCCUUGUGUAUUACUCAGAGCGCUCCACAUUGUGGAAUGACCUGCUUGUCCAUUUCCCCACGGCCUGGCUCCCUGCCUGGCCCGUGAGUUCACGAGAUCAACACUGUACGCAUCUCCUUCAUCACGCCAAGGGCAGCGCCGUGAAUUUUGAGCCCAUAAAUUGAAACAAGCAGGUGCUGGUGACAUUUGGGAAGAAGUGCUAAGACUGAGGGAACACACAAGACAGCCUUGCUGUCCUAAUUCCAGACAUGGCUGCAGCCCCACAGGGGUGACAGUGGGCAAGUUUGUCACUUAAAAUUUCUUAUGCUUAUUCUGUUUUUUUUUUUUGUCUCAGCUGUUUAAAGAUAAACAUGGACUCGAUUGUCAUGAAAAAAAAUUAGCACCAAGUUUUCUGUUAAAAUUAGAUGUUAUCUGAAGAGACUUAACAUCCUGCCUUAUACAGAGAAGUCCAAAAUUAAAUGCAAAUGUCCUGUAAUACUCUUAUAUUUUACCAUCCUGACUGUUUCUCGUGGUAGACUGCCUCUCAUUCUUGGAGGGAGAAAGGAAAGCCUGUGUUCCUAAUAUCAUAAAGAUACUCAUUUGAUUAUUCAUCAUUAUGCAUAUUCAUUUGGCUCAUAAUAGCCCAAAGUAGAAAUAACCCAAUUAUAUAUCAACUGAUGAGUGCAUGAAUAAUAUGUGUGUAGAGUCGAAUCCACACAACAGAGCAUCAUUCAGCAAUAAAAAAAAUGAUGUGUCAAUACAUAUCGCAACAUCCAUGGGGGAGAAGCCGGCCAUGUAGGAGGCCAAGCUAUGCUGCAGAGUCGGAAGUAGACAGAAAGUAGACCACUCGUAGCCUUGGGCUGCGGAGUUUGGAGGGAAUUUGGAGUGACUGCUAAUGGAUGUGGCAUUUCUAUUUGGGGUAAUGAAAAUGCUCUAAAAUGGAUGGUGGUGAUAGAUGUUCAACUUUUUGCAUAUAGUAAAAAGUACAGAAUUAUAUUUUCAAUGGGUGAAUUCUAAUGGUAUGUGAAUUAUAUUUCAAUAAAGCUGUUCAAAUUAAUUAAUUUAUUGAAUUAAUGUGAGAGCAGCCUGGCUCUCUGAUGACAGCAUGACUGAGCAGGGAGUGAGUGGGGCUUUGUGUCAAAUGCCAGCUUUGAUUAGAUAUGGAUAAUUGAUCACCCCUUCCUCCUUCCCUCUCUCCCUCCUUCCAGCUCACAUUUAAAUCUUUUGGAACCUUGACCCAGAGAUGAGUGUGUGUGUGUGUGUGUGUGUGUGUGUGUGUGUGUGUGUGGUGAUUAUCUUCCAAGAGCUGAGCUGAGGUGUGGCCAGCAGAGUGGUAAAGAGGUGUGUAAGGGAUAGAAAUAGGAUGCGGUCAGUGGACAUUCUGGAGGUUCAGCAAGAGGAUAUUGUGGGUUUAGGGACAUCUUCAGUCACAGCAAAUAUGCUAAAAGAGUUCUUUAUGUGACUUUAGCAGACACCCACUCUGUGGAUGAAUGAGGUGCAGAGACAAAAGGGCCUCUUUAGUGCUGAGGGCGGGGCACACAACAAUGAUGUACAGGGGUCAGAAGCCUGGGAUAGGGGUGGGGUCUUUUCCAGGACAGCGUCCUAAGAAGUUAAUAUUGGGUAAAGCAAGCAAGCAACCACCCACCCACCGAAACAAACAAACAAACAAACAAACAAACAAACAAACAAGCAAACAAACAAACAGAACAAGCCUGCAGACUAGCUAGUUGGCUUGGUGAGGUAGCUCAAAUGUUUUUGUUUAGUGGACAGCUCAGUUUGAGGCUGGCUGGGCAGUUUUCUUCAUUCCUGACUUGCCUGAUCAGGGUAGAAUAGAAUGGAACCCUCUCCUAGACCAGGGGAUCUAGCUGAGGACGCCUGUUUUGUGGCAAAUGAUUGUCUCUCUCAGGCUAGGGGGUUGCGGUCUCUUUUAGCCAGUCGGCUGCAUGGUCCUAGCGGUAGAGCUACGGCAGCCUCUGUGCGAGACAUUCACCGCUAGAGGGAGCACUGUGACGUUCUACAUCACCCGCACUGGGCUCUCUGGGCUGCGAAGCCAAGCGGACUGGCCAGAAGCCAGGGCUUUGGCAGUGGGGGAGGGGAUGUUCCUAAGAAAUUCAUUUUCUUCACCUUUGCUCUUUCCGUUUAUAAUUUCUCAGAAGAAACGGGACCCUAAAAUCCUAGUUUCCGGCAGGGUUCUCAGAGCACUUCCCUGCCCCACACCCCCAUUUUGUGGGCCUUGAGUUUGGCCUGCCUGCUGAGGCCCGUAUAACCCUGGAGUGGUUAAUAGGAAGUGGUGAAAACAGAGAAAGUGAGGCCAGACUGGUAGAUGUCCUGCGAGUGUGAGAGAACUGGAAAGAGCUUGGAGAACAGGCUGACAAAACAAAGGGGGAGGGGCGUGAAGCUAGAGGGUUGCAGUAGCUUUUAGCAGGCUGCAGGGUCCUGACUGUACAGCUAGGACAGACUCUGUGGUGGGUGCGGCUUUGGCCUUAUAAUACUGGGUAAGGGUUACAUGGGAGAUCUACUGCAUGGCCUUGGUGUUUUGGCGUGAUACCUCCCCACUCCACUCCAUUCAGUUGAGCCAGCCUCUCAUGGUAGCUGACCUCUAGAAGCAUGACUAAGACUGGAAGUGGUAGGUGUUCAGGGCAAAAGCUUCAUUUUUGGCUCCCACUAUGUUCUUGAACCACAUCCUACCUCUCAUAUGACCCAAGCCGUACUCCAACAGCAGGAGACUCAAACCUCAUCUUCUUCCUGCACUGGCUCUUGAGUCUGGGAGGCAGAUUCUCUUAGCAGCCACUGAGCAUAGGCAGCAGCUGUAUAAGGGGUAGGUGCUGGACAUGUGCCCACUCAUAGCUUUCCACAGAAGCUUCAGGAAGAUGGUACCCCAGCCGCAGCAGAGCAGGUCAGCAUGGGCCUGGUGAGGCUCCUGUCACUGCUGUUGUGAGUGUUGGUGAUUGCCAUGGUUACCUGGAGGCUGGGAGCUCUGACAGUUGGAGACAGAGCAGGGGAAGAUGGCCUGGAAACCUUACCAGGCUAGGAGAUCCUGGACUAGAGAAGAUGUUUUGCAAGCGUUCUGAUGAGCCACAAGUCAGGGGUCCUUUUUCAUUCUGCUAGGUCCUAGGAGAACUGAGAAGAGGGAAGGAUUGGGGCUGGGGCUGGCCCUCAGGGAGUUCGUAGUGAGAGAAGGAUGGUGGUCACAGAGCUCCCUAUAGAUUAAUACAGAUCCUGGGGUUGGGGAUUUGACUCAGUGGUAGAGCGCUUGCCUAGCAACCGCAAGGCCCUGGGUUCGGUCCCCAGCUCCAAAAAAAAAAUACAGAUCCCUGGGGACCUAGAGGAGGGCUCCUCUUCCUUGUUUACCAUGCUAGCAUGGGGACUAUGAUUGCCCUCUCCCUAAGUAGGAUGCUGUCCAGUCAAGCAAAAUAACAAGCCCUGCCAGGGCUUACGAGCUUCAGUUCUCUUCUAGGUCUUGGUUUUCCAGUCUGCAAAAUGGGGUUAAUGAUUAGUAAAUCCUUACCUACUUUAUGUCAAUGAGGAGGACUAAUUAAAUGCAUAAUUUUGUGUGUUGGAAUGAGCAGACAGAUUUCAGGUCUUUAGAGGAAAAGCCUUAUUUAUUCACGGCACCAAUGCAUGGAGCAGAAAUUCCAUCUAGCGCGUUUGCUGCCUCUCCACUGCUGGGUGAACCAAGAGCUCCAUUGCUUCUGUGAGAACAUGGGGCUCUGCACAGCUGUCCAACCCCAGCUCAGAGCUCUUGGAGCCUGAGAGGGAGGGGCAUCGUGUGGGCAACGAGCAGUCAUUUUGAGAUCAGUGGAGAAUGAUGGAGUCAGAAGCUGAGGCUCUGGUACAACAGCAGAAGACUGAAGGAUGGAGCAUCCCUUUCACCCCGAGAACAGUGUAUAGAGGUGAGAGUGUGCCUAGGCUUGGGCCACUGGUGUCUGCAUUCUUGUGCUCCUCCUGUCAGCCUGAGAUAAUCUGGAUAAGUCAGAAUCACAGAAAGAAAAAACUCAAGCAAUGGACCCCACGCAAGCUCAACCCAGUGCGGCCAACCCCAGAAACCCUGCAAAGUCAUAAAUGCAAAGAAAGUCUUUUGCUGUAAGGCUCCAAGACUUGGGGGAGUACCUGACAGACAACAUUCUCAUAGAAGAACUAACUGAUGGGUAGGCUAUGGUUUUGCAUGGACUGCAUUGCCUGGACCUCUGUGUUGAGAGUGUCAGGCAGAGAUCAUUGCUUUGUUUUGUACCAUCCAGAUUUAGGAAAGGGUUUCCCCCCUUUUCCAUGUAUUACUCCUUCCAUGACCUUUUCCUGAAGUACUCAUUGUUCAGACCCACGGGAUAAUCCACCCCAUUUAUAAGGUUCCACUCCCUCCCACUGAGCCACUUUUGGCCUCUCAGUCCUCCUGUCUGCGGCUGACAACCCCUUUGCCUAUGCUGGGAAGACGUCAGGUGUAUGGCAACACUGAGCAAGUGGAAUUCAGAGAGAUGAGGGUUCUUUGACGGUGCAACAAGGCGCAGAUACUUAGUUGGUUGAACCUCCUUGGAGAGCAGAGAAGGGAGCGGCUGCAUGCUCACUGUGAUGGUAGGUGACGGUAGGUGACAGUAGGUGACAGUAGGUGUUGGUAGGUGAGGCACCCCAUGCGCAAACUGGGGUUCUUUGUGAUGAGAUGGUCACUCCUCCCUUUGCCCUACCUAUCACAGACAGGUGGGCGUGGCCUUCCGAAUGCCCCUGCCUCCCUCUCUGAAAUGAAAUCUCUAAAAGCUGAACAGGGUGGAGAACUGUAAGCAGAGAUUCAGAUUCAGGCUGCAACAGAACAGAAGGAGUCAAAGCCCGGGAGGAAAGCCUGAAUGGGCUUGGAGAGGACAAAAUAAAACAGCAGACACAUUUAUACAGGUCUCUCCUACCUCUCAGAACAAAACAAUUAUGAGAUAAGAGAGGCAUGGAUGGAGGAAAUUCUUUCAUUUUUCACAUUGCGGGCUGGAGAGAUCCAAUAGGCUGUUUAUGAAGAACAAUAAAGAAGAUACAUGUGUUCAGUAAAGAGGUUGUUACAAAUAUAUCGGGUGGUUUUGAAAAGCCAGGGUUUUCUCCCCGCUUUUGGAUGAAGCUGUCAGCCGAGUAUUAAAAGAUUUUCUUUUUCUUUCUCUGUCUUUUUUUUCCUUCCUCUUGCUUUUUUUUCUUCCCCCAGAGCAAUAAAUGAUACCAGUGGUUUGUUACAAUUGGCAGAAAGAGUUAUCAUUUUUCUUUAGGAUUUGGAAAUGCAAUCAAAGACGGGCAGAUUGGAGCCCGAAUUAAAUGAAGCUUAAACAAACACAAAGGAAAAAAAAUCUCCGCUGUUUUUUUUUUUUUUCUUAAACAAACAAACACUGGAGUUGCGGCUCCGAGUUGCUAAUUUGAAGCUGCAAAGAAUCUGACACUCGCACUUGACAAAAUGGUGCCAAAGCCAGGAGAUGGACACCUCUUGGUUAAGGACUGAAUGUUCUGAUCAUUUUAUGAAAGUAAAAACCCAUUGUUUUAGGAAACUCUGUAGUGAAACCUGUCUGGCAGUCUAAUGGGAAAUCACAGAGGACUUUCCUUCUGUUGACUCGAGAACAGGUUAAUUCUUUCUGGGGUAAAUUAAAUAAAUGAAAGCUCAGGGGUAUGGGGA
This is a long non-coding RNA of Rattus norvegicus (Norway rat), 7015 nucleotides long. RefSeq lists it as uncharacterized. NCBI's taxonomy places the organism in Eukaryota, Metazoa, Chordata, Mammalia, Rodentia, Muridae. The record is from RefSeq and is a predicted model, not a curated record.